Non-coding RNA from Lepisosteus oculatus (spotted gar), 719 nucleotides. The record is from RefSeq and is a predicted model, not a curated record. Lineage: Eukaryota; Metazoa; Chordata; Actinopteri; Semionotiformes; Lepisosteidae.
CCGCCCAGCUCAAGAGAGCCGGUGCUGAUUGGGCGAGUGUCGCGGACAGGCUUCAGGUUCCGCGUUAUCCGCGCUGAUUGGUUCCGCGAUCACUGGGCGAGAGCCACGGAAAGUCGUCGGGUUCCGCGAUGUCCGCGAAGUCCGCGCUGAUUGGGCGAGACUGCUAAAGCCCCUGUACUGAUUGGUUAACAGCUCCGCCGUGUACGCCUAUGUUGUGACGUCAUAUUACCGUGACGAUGCUGCUAGUGCCCUGGUGCCUGUUGUGCGGUCUUGAGGGUCUCUCUCUGUCUCUGGGUGUUCUUGUGCAGCAGUCUGAGCUCUGACUCAGUGAUGGACAGGUGUCGUCCCCACUAUAGUAGAGACACUAGAGAAGAGUGUCCCGCUCUCAGCCUGUCCAGACCCCUUCAGCACAGCCUCCCACUGACACUCAUUCACACUGUGGAAGUGUUUCUGUAAGUCUAAUUUUAUUUUUUCAAUUAUAAUGAUUUAUUAUGUUGGAAAUGAAGCUGUGCUCUCUAAGCCUCUGUAGAUGUGUUUUGCAAUUUACUCAAGACUGUCAGGCCUGGGGGCUGGGGGGCCGAUUCUCAUCAGCAGGGAAAGAGCCCAUCAGCCCCAGAGACACAGGAGCCCCUGAGACAGAACAGAGUCUAAGAGCAACAACCUCUACUGCUGUGUGAACUGAGUGAUGAAAAUCAAAUCCAGAAUGAUCAGUGCCACUA